CCGGCGACCGGCGCACGGGUGAGUAACACGUAUGCAACCUGCCCGUCUCAGGGGGAUAAUCGUCGGAAACGGCGUCUAAUACCCCGUAUGAAGCUGGACGGCAUCGUCUGGUUUUGAAAGAAUAUCGGAGACGGAUGGGCAUGCGGCGCAUUAGCUAGACGGCGGGGUAACGGCCCACCGUGGCGACGAUGCGUAGGGGUUCUGAGAGGAAGGUCCCCCACACUGGUACUGAGACACGGACCAGACUCCUACGGGAGGCAGCAG
Molecule: ribosomal RNA, 264 nt
Filed under: uncultured bacterium
Lineage: Bacteria
Description: partial 16S ribosomal RNA
Rfam family: Bacterial small subunit ribosomal RNA
Source: RNAcentral